This is a non-coding RNA of Plectropomus leopardus (leopard coralgrouper), 563 nucleotides long. The record is from RefSeq and is a predicted model, not a curated record. Lineage: Eukaryota; Metazoa; Chordata; Actinopteri; Perciformes; Serranidae.
AAUGACACUGUAUUGAGUUUUCUUUUAGAAUGAUUAUUUUUGGCUUUAUUUGAUAGGACAGCUGUAGCAUGAAAGAGCAGAGAGAGGGAAAGGGCCUCAGGCGUGAAUUGAACCUGCAGCUGCUGUGACGAGGACAAAGCCCUUGUACAAGGGGCACCCACUCUGCCAGGUAUCUGUCUGACUGGUUUCAUCAGAGCAGCUGUGUGCACACACUGCUUCAGACAGGACCGUUUGGAGCGUCCUCUUUCCACCAUGACCGCAAGUAAGAGCUGAUGUGCAUGCACCGACGACCCUGUGGUCCAAGCUGAUCAGAGAAUCACCAGGUGGAGUCAACAACAUCCUUCACAACAAAUUGCCCCCUCUGACCGCCCGAGAGGCUGGAGGAACUUGUGGAAAGACACGUCACCCUGUUGCCACCACAAUAGAGAACGAGGACGCUGUGAGCUGAUGGAGACAUCUGUCACAUAGUCAGAGGUAUGUGCUGUCACUUCUGUUAUUGGUAAACACCAGCAGUAUUAAACACCAACGCAUACUCGCAUAAACAAAACCCCCAGAGAAAGUCU